RNAcentral lists this ribosomal RNA (48 nucleotides) under Tetradium ruticarpum. RNAcentral's name for it is "partial 18S ribosomal RNA". It matches the Rfam family "Eukaryotic small subunit ribosomal RNA", at positions 1784 to 1831 of the family's 1831-position model. The record is from RNAcentral. Lineage: Eukaryota; Viridiplantae; Streptophyta; Magnoliopsida; Sapindales; Rutaceae.
AGAAGUCGUAACAAGGUUCCGUAGGUGAACCUGCGGAAGGAUCAUUGU